AACAGCUAUCAGCUAGAACAGAAAGCUAUGAAAAUGUUCUUCCAAGUUUCUCUACUUAGGAGACUGUGCUGGGAGAAGUUUUCUGAACAACCUUUCAUUCUUCCAAUGCUAGGUUCAAGAAAUCCUGCUAAUAUUAUGUUUUCAUUGAAAUGGUAUUGUAGGGCUGAAGUCAAUAAGCAAAGAUGUAGUGUUGAAAGUCACCCCCUUUGUUUUCCUCUUGUUUUCACACAUUUUCCUCUUUCUUGGCAUUGCCUAGAUUUAUUCUCCUCUUCUCCCUUUUAGAAACAGAAUUUGGCAUAAAUAAAUGAUAACUGAGAAAAUGGCAUACACGGACAAGUAAAUGCAAGAUUUCUCCAGCCUCCCACGGGCUUGAAAUGUAUUUAGGGAAGCCAGGCAUGUAUGCAUGAAAUAGAAAGUCACCAUACAAGGCAGUGGGGCACCUGCCAUUUGCUGCAGAGGACGCAGCUGAAGAUAAGGACUACAGCCAUUCAAGG
This 494-nucleotide long non-coding RNA is filed under the name Homo sapiens (human). Its description in RNAcentral is "novel transcript". The record is from RNAcentral. Lineage: Eukaryota; Metazoa; Chordata; Mammalia; Primates; Hominidae.